This 3106-nucleotide long non-coding RNA is filed under the name Lynx pardinus (Iberian lynx). The record is from RNAcentral. Lineage: Eukaryota; Metazoa; Chordata; Mammalia; Carnivora; Felidae.
AAAAGGCCCUGGAAGACAAGUGUAAUGCAUUGAGGACUGUGAAAGCAACAAAGGAAGCAAAAGUCAAACAGCUGAAGGAGAAAGCACAUCACCUAGAAGAAUUCUUGAACCAAGAAAAGUGGCUACAGAAGAGUAAGAUAUUCAUGUGAGAACUGUCACAAGUACUGCAUUGUAAGAAAUUGCCAAAUGCAUUCAGUGGAAUUGUGCCUGCCCUUCCUACCUUGCUUUCUGUAACCUGCGUUUUCCUUUCUGCCCUAAGUGCUUGUCACACAUUGUGUCAUGAAUUUGGGGCCAAAGAGGGAAUGUACCAGCAGUAACGUUGAUACCUGGAUCCACUGUAGAUACACCUACGUUGUCCUAUAGGUUUCAAGCCCAUCACACUGUUUUGUCAUCCAGCAAUUAGGUCAUUUUGUUCAGGGCCAGACACGGGUCAAAAAUGUGUGGGGGAAAAUUUGAACUAUCUUGCUACAGACACAAUAGAAACUGCUUUCUGAAAAGUGGGUAGGGGUACCAGCUGUACUGAAUCCCUGCAUCCAUUCGGCCAGUGAGAUUGUUCAGUGCAGGCCCAAUCCCUAAGAAAGUCGAAUUGUUUCCUGUCCCCUGAGGUUUUAAGUGUAACUCUUCUGAGUCUUGACCAAAGCCUGCAGCUUCACUAGGGCUCAUCUUUGCUGGCCACCCCUGAACUACAUUUGUUUACUUCUAAGUCUUUGCCCAUAAGGUUGUUCAGCUUCUUUGCCAUUCAGAUGUAUGCCCCCCAAAUCAAUGAUGAGCCCUAGGAAGAUUGGGUCCAACUGCCAGGCUGGCUUUGUCCUGGGCUUCCUUCCUAUCUUGGUCUUGUGUGUCUUCGUGGGGUUGUUAAAUAUUUGGUGCAUUCACUCACAUGCUUCCUCCUUUGUACAGUAUUUCCUUUUGUUCUCAGGACAUCAGGGACUUUAGAGUCCCUCACUCAUGUUGGAAAGUGAACUCUUCCUUCUCUUCCCUGGAGACUCAGCUUUAUGUUAGUCCUUUCCACACCUGGGGUUAGGGUCUGCUCUGUCUCACUGGCAUCUUCUGUUUUUUUUGUUUUUUGUUUUUUAAUUUGUAAGCUCUUUCUGUGAGUACAGUGCCCUGACCACCUUUCUAUCUUCAACCCCUUACAACAGAGCCACUACAUUACAACCACGCCAGAAAGCAUUUGCUGAAGGACUGCCUGAGGCCAGAAGGAAAUGCAUGUGCCUUUCUGUGUCUCAUGCUUUUGUGUCCAUUUCUAAGAGAAUUUCAAUUUUGCAUGUGAUUCUUGAGCACAUUAAGUGUCAAUGUGAAAGCCUUUAAAUGAACACCACAAACAAAAUAGUCUGAGGGCAACACAACAAACCAGUCUUUCUAAGCAUUGCCUUUUGCUGCCUUCACUAUCAAUGGAACCAGUCUUGUUAAAGUAGAUUGGCUCCAUGAAGUUGAGAUUUUUCCAUCUGAAAUCUGUUUCCUGGAAAUAAACCCAGACUGCGUGACAUUUCAUAUCAGGUUAUACUUCAGGAGAUGUGGCCCCUCUACGAUUGGCCUUUUUCUCCACUAGGAUAUGUAAAGGUGGAGGCAGGGGUUGGAGUCCUGAACUCUAGCGAUGUCUGGGAGUGAGCUGCAAUGUUGGUGAAGCCAUAGUCUGGGAGGUUGUCUUUCAGGGUGAUUGUGUCAUGGUACAACUUUUGGACUGAGAAUCAGGGCUCCCCAUGGAGGUGUAAGACUAGUGAUGAUCCCCUGCCUUAUCCUAAUGGGUACAGUUGGUCAGACAUGGUUUUUCACACUAAUGAAAUGAGUCUUCACCAUCUCAAAGACCAACUCUGGGAAGGCACGAAGUGCAAUGUUAUUUGAUGACUUUAUGAUGAAGGAGAGGAAAAAGAGAACUAGAAAGACAGUUCCGAUAGCAGAGACAUGGCAACAGAGGUUGAAUUUUCUUUAACUUAAAUGGGGUGUUCACCUCCUUUCUCUGAUUGUGUUGUCAGUCUGUGCAUUUAUGGGAGAGGUGGGGGAAGGGAUAUCUGCAUAGGCCUUCAAGAGUGCUGGGAGGUAAAAAGGGAGAAUUUCUGGAUCUUGGUCCUGACUGUAUUUAUCUUUCCCAUCUUAGGAAGCUGAAAAUGAUAGUGUGAACUGAUGGCAAAGAAGAAUCAGCUGGCAGCUGCAGGUAAAAUUUGAAAAUAGCUACAGAAAGGGCUCCUGGGGGGCUCAGUCGGUUAAGCGUCUGACUUCAGCUCAGGUCAUAAUUUCACAGUCCGAGUUCGAGCCCCGCAUCAGGGUCUGUACUGACAGCUCCGAGCCUGGAGCCUGCUUCGGAUUCUGCUACCUCUCUCUCUGUCCCUCCUCCAUUCAUUCUCUCUCUCAAAAAUGAACAUUAAAAAAAAAAGGAAAACAGCUACGAAAGAAAUAAGUACAAGUGAGUUCAGUUACUAAUUACCAGCAGCUCAUGAAACCUCUGUUCAUUUUUUUUUUGUUUUUAACCUUUUUACAAUGUUUAGACUCAACUUAGUAAUAUAAACAAAAAUUCAGAGAUCAUAUGCAUAGACUAUUAACAGAUAAAAAAGGUAAGUUUUAGAAAGAACAAAACAAUUAGGUUUUUAAACAUUUGCAGAUCUCAGGCAAUAGCCAGACUGUGUAAGAAACUUUGUCCAUGCCAACAUUCCUUGGGGGUGGUGUCAAUUGUCAUAAUCUAUAGGAGAGCAGUGUGUUGUAGGAUGAAUCACAACCAUCAACAUGGUAGUGCCAUUCCAUGGCCCUCGUCUUUGCAACCCUGGGAAACCUGGUGAGGAUAUAAGUUAAAGAAGAAUAGAGCUUUAUCUGAAAGACACUUGUCACAUGAUGAAUUAGGGAAAGAUUGAAAAUGGGAAGGAAUUCUAUGAACUCUGAGCCCUACGGGCAUGGAAUAAUGAGUAAGGAAAGGAUGUAACAAUAGCUUUGAUCCUACUGUACAUUUAUAAUCAUGUGAAAAGUGUUUCAUGUGUAAGAAUAAAUUGUAUCAGGGGACAGAUAUGAGGUUGUUGGGAACGUGAGCAGAUUAUUUAAAAUCAUACCCAAUACUGGGUCUUAUCUGACAAGAGCAAUUGUAACUCACAGGCAACAAAUUGAACAAACAUGGGAA